RNAcentral lists this long non-coding RNA (1002 nucleotides) under Nicotiana tabacum (common tobacco). Its description in RNAcentral is "long non-coding RNA (NTAB_LNC014688)". The record is from RNAcentral. Lineage: Eukaryota; Viridiplantae; Streptophyta; Magnoliopsida; Solanales; Solanaceae.
CCAAUGGGAUUAACAUUGCCCCAAUAAGUUUCGACUUGAGGAUGCUGCAAAGGAUCACCAUACACUUCGCUGGUGCUAGUCAGCAGAAAUCGAGCUCCAACUCUUUUUGCCAGCCCCAACAUGUUCAAUGUUCCCAUCACAUUUGUUUUGUGAUAUCUAACUAUUUAAGUCAAGGAUAACCUUACCCAAAGUCCCCAAAAACAUACAUUAUAUAUUAACAUUUUACCACAUGCACAUACCCAACCCCACCAAAAAAACGUAAGAAAAAACACCUCAUAUGUCAGUUUUAACAAAAGUAGGCGGAUAUAGGAUUUAAAUUUAAUGGGUUCACGUUUUAAGAUUUUUAAUAUUAAACUUAUUCAUAUACUGUUAAAUUAUGGGUUCAAAUCUAAUACUUAUUGAGAUUUUAGUAGAUUUUUACAUAUAAAUCUAUACUUCAUAUCGAAAGUAAUGGGUUUAGUUGAACCCUUAGCUGAAAUGCUACAUCCGCCCCCGACAAAAACCAUACUUCAAUCUCCAUCCAAGACUUUACCUUGCAAACCAAACCCUUUGCAUUUCAUCAUUUAAUCGAUACGUCAACAUUAUAGAUGAAUAAAAAGACAUAAGAAUUUAACUUAAAAAGAAGAAAAAGAAACAUGCUACCCAACUAUAUGUCUAUUGUAGGAAAUUUCAUAAUCUUUUAAACAAAAUUUACUUUUAAAAAUUAAGUUUUUUUUUUCUGUUUAACUAUUCAAUAUCUACUGGAUUUUAGAUACCAAAUGGUUCAACAUGAACAAAAAAGUUUUUUUUUUUUUCAAAAAUAAAUUUUGUUUUCAGAAAUUACGAAUUUAUUAAAAUCAUCUAUCAGCUUAACUCAAGAAAAUAGAUAAUGAAGGAUAUGAUGGUCUUGACAGGAUUAAAUUUGUAAUGAACAGGAGAGGCAGGGCAAGCCAAAUGAUAAACCUGAUCAACUUCAAGUAAAAUUGGCUCCACCACAUCAUGUCUAGCCAUCUCGAAUUUAGG